UAAAACUAUUUAUGAAUAGUUUACUUGCUACUGCAUUGGAGUCAGGGAAUAUUCUAAAUUGUCUCUUCUAUUUUGCAUGAAAUAUUAUUCUUUCCUGUGCUAAUCAUCCUUAUACUAGGUUGCUGAAGAUCUUCUGCACUCACUGCUUAUUGGACUCAUGGUUGGAUUUGUCUGUGUAGCUUCAGAAGAUUUUGGAUGCCUUACUCACAUGGCUGAUGGAAGAAUAACCAGAUUCAGGCAGGAGUCCAGAUCACCAGAGAAGUAUGAAGUGAUGAGGCAGGUUGGAAGUCAAGCUGGGAAGACAAGUUACCAGAUCAGGACAAGGAAGUUAAAAAUUAAGUACAUCUCAAGUAAUGAGAUUGAUGAGAUUGGACAGACUGGAUCCUAUCCGCAGAGCUUAAGAAAGAAUAAUGAAAUGCAAUAAUAAAGUUCUGGAGCUAAUGAUUUAAAUGGUUAAAUGUAUUUUAUUUCUAUUUUCCUUGGGGGAUGAGUGGCUGGAAAGCAUUCCUUUGGAGGGGAAUUUGGGGGUGCUGGUUGACAGUAUGCUCAGUAUAAGUCAGCAAUGCCUCAGUAGUGCCCUGGCAGCCAUGAGAAGAAACAGCAUUUUGAGGUGCACUAAAUACAGCACAGCCAGCUGGUCAAAGAUGCAGCCUCACUUUGAAUAUCGCUUGCAGCUCUGGGCUCCAUGAUAUAAAAGGGGUGUUAAGUUAUUUGAAUGCAUCCAGAGGGCAGCAAAGCUAGUAAAAGAACUGGAAGGCAUGUCUUACGAGGAAAGGCUGAAGACAUUUGCACUGUGUAGUCUGGAGAAGAGAAGGUUAUCAGGAGCCUUCAUUGCUCUCUACAAUUUCCCGAGGAAAGGAAAUGAUCAGGGAGACUUCAGUCUCUUCUCCCUGGUAACCAACAAUAGAACAUGGAGGAAUGGCACAAAGCUGUGCUAGGGGAGGUUCAGAAUGGAUAUUUUGAAAAAAAUCUUUACUGAAAAGGUGGUCAAAAAUUCUAGCAAGGUGGUUGAUGCCCUACGAAUGUCGUUGUUCAAGAGGCACUUGGAUAAUGUCAUCAUCAAAAUGCUUUAACUUUAGGUUAGCACUGUAGUGGUCACGAGUUGGUAUCUUUGAAAGUCCCUUUCAACUAUUCUAAUUCUAAUUCUAAUUCUAAUUCUAGUUAUCUGUUGAUGUGAAGAGAUCCAUUUCUAUGCAUUUUAGCAAUGGUAAUUUUGUGCUGAUGCAUAACAACCAGUUAGGCAUGAAUAAUUGAAUAUGGUUCUUUCAAUAGAAAAAGAGUUGUACAUUUAAUUAUUUAACUAAAUUGACAUUUAUUUUGUAAAAUAAGCACAAUAACUCGUAAAGAAGUUGUAGCUAGCAAAAAC
RNAcentral lists this long non-coding RNA (1366 nucleotides) under Anser cygnoides (Swan goose). RNAcentral describes it as "lncRNA (ENSACDG00005004612.1)". The record is from RNAcentral. Lineage: Eukaryota; Metazoa; Chordata; Aves; Anseriformes; Anatidae.